UAGACUUUGAUCCUGGCUCAGGAUGAACGCUGACAGAAUGCUUACACAUGCAAGUCAACUUGAAUUGGGUUUAACUUAGAUUUCGGGUGGCGACGGGUGAGUAACGCGUAAAGAACUUGCCUCACUAGCUAGGGACAACAUUUAGAAUGAAUGCUAAUACCUGAUAUUAUGAUUUUAAGGCAUCUUAGAAUUAUGAAAGCUAUAAGCACUGUGAGAGAGCUUUGCGUCCCAUUAGCUAGUUGGAGAGGUAACAGCUCACCAAGGCGAUGAUGGGUAGCCGGCCUGAGAGGGUGAACGGCCACAAGGGGACUGAGACACGGCCCUUACUCCUACGGGAGGCAGCAGUGGGGAAUAUUGGACAAUGGACCGAGAGUCUGAUCCAGCAAUUCUGUGUGCACGAUGAAGUUUUUCGGAAUGUAAAGUGCUUUCAGUUGGGAAGAAAAAAUGACGGUACCAACAGAAGAAGUGACGGCUAAAGUACGUG
Molecule: ribosomal RNA, 484 nt
Filed under: uncultured Fusobacterium sp.
Lineage: Bacteria; Fusobacteriati; Fusobacteriota; Fusobacteriia; Fusobacteriales; Fusobacteriaceae
Description: bacterial SSU rRNA
Rfam family: Bacterial small subunit ribosomal RNA
Source: RNAcentral